RNAcentral lists this ribosomal RNA (253 nucleotides) under uncultured bacterium. RNAcentral's name for it is "partial 16S ribosomal RNA". It matches the Rfam family "Bacterial small subunit ribosomal RNA", at positions 524 to 776 of the family's 1533-position model. The record is from RNAcentral.
UACGUAGGGUGCAAGCGUUAAUCGGAAUUACUGGGCGUAAAGCGUGCGCAGGCGGUUGUGCAAGUCCGAUGUGAAAUCCCCGGGCUUAACCUGGGAACUGCAUUGGUGACUGCACGGCUAGAGUGUGUCAGAGGGGGGUAGAAUUCCACGUGUAGCAGUGAAAUGCGUAGAGAUGUGGAGGAAUACCGAUGGCGAAGGCAGCCCCCUGGGAUAACACUGACGCUCAUGCACGAAAGCGUGGGGAGCAAACAGG